ACUUGUGCCUUAUGGUUUUGUAAUCUUAUAAGUUGUUUUAUUUUGUGUGUUGUUUUGUUUGUCUUAUUGUAGCACCACUACCACCAGGUAUAAACCCAUUUGCAGUUAAUAAUAAAUAAUUCCAUACAUCAAUUUCCAACAAGAACAAAUUCAUUGCAAGGUACAUUUCACCAAUCAGUGCUAGUACUAAAAAUAAUUUAUGAACUUCACCCCUCAGCAGUCGCUGAGUUAGUGAUAUAUCUAGUGAAAUGAAAGUAAUUUGGAGGAGGAAGACAGGAAUAAGUAAUCCAUUCAGGUCAACGAAUAUUCUGAUAUCAGUGGUGACGCUAAACUUAUCGUCAACAUUCGAUACAUCGAUGAAGGUAUAAUCACAAAUAAUUUAUUUUUCUGCGAGGAACUUGCAGAGUGAGCAGCCGGCGGUGAGAUACUUCGUUUUAGUACGGAAUAUCUUCGCGCAAAUGGACUGCAAUGAAAGGACUAUAUCAGUGCCUGCGCAGAAGGGGCAUCAUCAGUGACAGAUAAACUGAGAAGCUUAGUAGCGAAAGUGAAUCGAGAAAUAAUGUUUGACCACUGCCUUGUUCAUGGCGAAGCCAUCUUUGCCUGAUCUUUAGAAGAAUGUUUUGGAUGACGUAAAAGUUGUUGACUUCAAAUCGCGGCCCUUCAACUACUUCGGUUUUGUGCUAGGACCUGGGUUAUGAACACACCUCUUUCUAGCUUCACGUGGUAGUACGAUGGUUGUCACGUGCACGGAAAAUUGUGGAAAGGUAUUAAUUCGUGUAGCUGAGCUUCGUUACGACGGGUGUUUUUGUAACUUUUUAGGGGGCGAGUACGCGUAAUUACUUGCUGAUGAGUGGAUUGCUAAAGUGGCGUUCCUGUCAUAUUUUCGUUCAUUUUAAUGAACUGAACAAAAAAAAAAGUAGGGCAAGAACGAAAAUAUCCCGAGCAGUAUGGACAAAAUUCAAGGAUUACGCGGUAAGUUGUGGUACCAAACAUAAUUAGUGGGUGCAUUGAAAUGAUGCCAGCUGUGUGCUCACUUGCUGCUAGAAAUAAAUCGUCACUGAAAAAUAUUUGGCCGUACAGCAGCAAAAGUUUUCGAACUAAUCAGGGACGUGGAAUAUUUAAACUGGGUUCCAGAAUCGUGAGUAGGUGUCCUUGCAACUUUCCUCCUUUGAAAUCUCAAGAACCGAGGGAUCUGAAGACAGACAGAACCCUUAAAUUUACGUUCUGUGAACUCUAAUUUGACAUAUUUCGGCUAAGUGAAUGAAUACCUUGUGAUUUCUGACAUGGCUGUUAGGAUCUUGUUUCCAUUAUGAAGAAAUGAGAGGUCAAUUAUUUACAAUUUUGCCAUGUACCAUUCCCCCUUGCUCAACGAAGCAGGCGCAACUAUCACGUGAAACAGCAAAGAGCCAACUGGAGAGCCAGCGAGGUGAGAGCAGUGUAACUGUACCAAGGCAACAGAUGACUGUUCCCACGCUGGCUGAUGACAGUGAUUCUGGUACUGCUCCCAGCUCAGCGUCCCUCCACUACCUUCCGAAUAGUCGACAAUAGCGUCCGUCUGUCCAACCAGAUCUGACAAUGCUGGCAGUAGCAAUGAUACAGCACCUAUUACACCAAGCAUGAUCUGGACACACAAACAGAAAAAGUAUGUUUGUUUUAUGUCAUUCCAGUUCAGUUCUAUCGUAGAGAAAAGUAUUUCAUUAUGAUUAUGUUGGGGAAUAUGAAUGGAGUGUGUCCCAUCACACCAACAGAGAUUAAGUAAUGUUGGAAAUAAGAUAUUACAUAUUGAAUAAAUUUGUAUUUACUCUUUCAUAUUAUGCUAUUUUAUUAUAAGUAAACCCAGCUUCAUUUUAUAUACUUUUAGCAUGUUUAUGAUUAAAAAAGACAUAAUUCAGUAUAA
Zootermopsis nevadensis is the source of this 1897-nucleotide non-coding RNA. NCBI's taxonomy places the organism in Eukaryota, Metazoa, Arthropoda, Insecta, Blattodea, Termopsidae. The record is from RefSeq and is a predicted model, not a curated record.